Molecule: ribosomal RNA, 1388 nt
Filed under: Chryseobacterium sp.
Lineage: Bacteria; Pseudomonadati; Bacteroidota; Flavobacteriia; Flavobacteriales; Weeksellaceae
Description: bacterial SSU rRNA
Rfam family: Bacterial small subunit ribosomal RNA
Source: RNAcentral
CAUGCAGCCGAGCGGUAGAGAUUCUUCGGAAUCUUGAGAGCGGCGUACGGGUGCGGAACACGUGUGCAACCUGCCUUUAUCAGGGAGAUAGCCUUUCGAAAGGAAGAUUAAUACCCCAUAAUAUAUUAAGUGGCAUCACUUGAUAUUGAAAACUACGGUGGAUAGAGAUGGGCACGCGCAAGAUUAGAUAGUUGGUGAGGUAACGGCUCACCAAGUCUACGAUCUUUAGGGGGCCUGAGAGGGUGAUCCCCCACACUGGUACUGAGACACGGACCAGACUCCUACGGGAGGCAGCAGUGAGGAAUAUUGGACAAUGGGUGNAAGCCUGAUCCAGCCAUCCCGCGUGAAGGACGACGGCCCUAUGGGUUGUAAACUUCUUUUGUAUAGGGAUAAACCUAGAUACGUGUAUCUAGCUGAAGGUACUAUACNGAAUAAGCACCGGCUAACUCCGUGCCAGCAGCCGCGGUAAUACGGAGGGUGCAAGCGUUAUCCGGAUUUAUUGGGUUUAAAGGGUCCGUAGGCGGAUCUGUAAGUCAGUGGUGAAAUCUCACAGCUUAACUGUGAAACUGCCAUUGAUACUGCAGGUCUUGAGUGUUGUUGAAGUAGCUGGAAUAAGUAGUGUAGCGGUGAAAUGCAUAGAUAUUACUUAGAACACCAAUUGCGAAGGCAGGUUACUAAGCAACAACUGACGCUGAUGGACGAAAGCGUGGGGAGCGAACAGGAUUAGAUACCCUGGUAGUCCACGCCGUAAACGAUGCUAACUCGUUUUUGGAUUUUCGGAUUCAGAGACUAAGCGAAAGUGAUAAGUUAGCCACCUGGGGAGUACGUUCGCAAGAAUGAAACUCAAAGGAAUUGACGGGGGCCCGCACAAGCGGUGGAUUAUGUGGUUUAAUUCGAUGAUACGCGAGGAACCUUACCAAGGCUUAAAUGGGAAAUGACAGGUUUAGAAAUAGACUUUUCUUCGGACAUUUUUCAAGGUGCUGCAUGGUUGUCGUCAGCUCGUGCCGUGAGGUGUUAGGUUAAGUCCUGCAACGAGCGCAACCCCUGUCACUAGUUGCCAUCAUUAAGUUGGGGACUCUAGUGAGACUGCCUACGCAAGUAGAGAGGAAGGUGGGGAUGACGUCAAAUCAUCACGGCCCUUACGCCUUGGGCCACACACGUAAUACAAUGGCCAGUACAGAGGGCAGCUACACAGCGAUGUGAUGCAAAUCUCGAAAGCUGGUCUCAGUUCGGAUUGGAGUCUGCAACUCGACUCUAUGAAGCUGGAAUCGCUAGUAAUCGCGCAUCAGCCAUGGCGCGGUGAAUACGUUCCCGGGCCUUGUACACACCGCCCGUCAAGCCAUGGAAGUCUGGGGUACCUGAAGUCGGUGACCGUAACAGGAGCUGCC